GUUAAUGGUUCCUGUGAAGGUCUGUGUCAGGACGGAUGGAUGGGAGUCGACUGUACAGGAUGUGAUGGGAAAUACGGCCCAGAUUGUUCGUUAUCGUGUGAUGCCAGACACUGUAAAAACAACAAUGCACCGUGUGAUCACAUGACCGGAUCUUGUGGUGGAGAAUGUCUGCCUGGUUGGCAAGGUGCUACAUGUUCUGACAAUUGCAGUAAUACGACCUAUGGCGAUAACUGUGCAAUGCUGUGUUCAGACAGACAUUGUACUAACACAGCAUAUUGUCACCAUGAG
Long non-coding RNA from Gigantopelta aegis, 288 nucleotides. RefSeq lists it as uncharacterized. The transcript is spliced from 3 exons. Lineage: Eukaryota; Metazoa; Mollusca; Gastropoda; Neomphalida; Peltospiridae. The record is from RefSeq and is a predicted model, not a curated record.